CAAAGCUGAAUACCUUUAGGCUGCCCUAGCACCUUGCCUAUAAAGGCACCAUUACUUGAGAUUAAAGUCAGAUUUUAGAGGCAGAAAAUUUUGGAAAAACUAAAUGGCUGAGUCUUUCAAAACACUGAAAUUUAUGUGGCAUUUCUGAUGAACAUUGGUCCAGUUCUCUUUUAGUUCUAUUAUCUGAAAGUUACAAAGGAUUUCUAGGGGAAUAUUUGGGUCAAAAACUGGUGUUCAAGUCUUAUUGAUUGCCGGUUUAUGGAAUCAAGUCUGAUGUUGCUUCUCCUUAAAUUUCAACUAAUUUUUCUUAUUGUUUAUUGAUGUAAUCAGGUACUUACUCUUGAGUGAAUUCAGAUUCGAAGAAUGAAAUGAAAGAAUGGAAUUAGAGCAUUGUUUCAACUAGUGUUAUAAUUCAGUUGUACGAUAUUAUGUUUUGAUUCACUUCAUUUUCAAGCUGAUUUCUGGCUUAUGAUAACUGAACUCCAUCAUUGUAUUUGAUUUGAGGAUUGUUGCUAUAGUUGAAAGGUUCAAUUGAUUUAUGGGUGUUAGAAUUGUGUUUAAGUUCUGCUGGAAAUAAUGAAUUAAGUGUUUGGCUUCAUGUUAUUUAGGUUUGUGAUUAGUUAGUAUUCUAUUUCUGUAAGUAUGCCAUUCAUAUGUUGGUUUUGCUCAAGAGAACUGAGAAACUGUCGUUAUGACUGAGAUGUGAAUCAGUAUAGUUGUUAGGUCUAGCAAAAGUUUAAUUUGCUUGAUCCAUG
Molecule: long non-coding RNA, 755 nt
Filed under: Nicotiana benthamiana
Lineage: Eukaryota; Viridiplantae; Streptophyta; Magnoliopsida; Solanales; Solanaceae
Description: long non-coding RNA (NBEN_LNC040267)
Source: RNAcentral